This 838-nucleotide long non-coding RNA is filed under the name Homo sapiens (human). Its description in RNAcentral is "HSALNT0338727". Lineage: Eukaryota; Metazoa; Chordata; Mammalia; Primates; Hominidae. The record is from RNAcentral.
ACCAGCGAGGCUUACUUAGUGUGGGAGGGACGCGAGCUCCAAGGAUCAGGGACUGUGAGGCUGUCUGUGAGGCUGGCUACCACGGAAGUUGCAAAUAGGGAUGAUUUUCCUACUUUUGUUCCUUAUCUUCUGACCUUUAACAGGUCAUUUUCUACAGAUCUGUCAGUCUUUUUAUUUGUACUUUUUAAAUUGGUAUUUUGCUAAGGAAGGCCUUCUUUACCUCAAGAUUGUAAAAAUUCUGGGGAAUCUUUGAGAACAAGCAUCCGAGAGUCAUUUUUCUGAUCUUUCUUCAUUUGCACUGGAGUGGCGAUGCCAGGCUCUCAGAGGGUGUCCCAUGCACGAUUUCUCCUCACCCUCGGAACAAACCUAGCAGGUGGGUCAGUCGCUCCAGGUGGGACAGACAUCGGCUGCACAAGGACCACGGCAAAUCUGCCCCCAGGACGCUUCCAAAGAGGGCAGUGGGGUCACUCAGUGCCCGUGAACGCUCAGGGUCACUCAACGUCUGUGAACGCUCAGGCACCAUGCUGAGUAGCCACCAGGUCAGCAGCCCCGGGUGCGGCCCCCAGACAGGAAGGGUGGGCUCCUGCUUUAGCCUGGCAUUGUCUUUGCUUCUGUUCUUCCUUCUGGUGACUUCCACCUUGGAACCUGGGAGCUGGAACGGUGCACACCCCAGUGUUGUCAGAAACAUCCUCCAAAGCCUCCAUACACUGCUCCCCUUGGAAGGACAGGAAGAGGCUCUAUCUCCGACUCCCUGAGGGAUCUCACCCCUGCUGGGCAGCAUUUACCCUAGGGAAGAAUGGACGAUGAGCAGGGGAUGAUGAGCAGGGAAGCAGCUGAA